UGUUUGGGGUUGGCAGAUUCGUAUUAAGGAAUUGCUUCAAUUCAAGGUCAUUCCUUCUAUUCCUUCACUAUAUCUUGCAAUUUUCGUGCUUAAGUUUUGCUCUGCUUGACUACACCCUGGAGAAUAUCAUAACUAAAUCUCUAUGCUUAUAUCAUUUUUCUUUCUCACAUUUUGCCUUUUACUAUUUAAUCACUCUAAUUCGUUGAAUACGAUAGUCUCAAACAAUUAGUCUCACAUUUG
RNAcentral lists this long non-coding RNA (240 nucleotides) under Coffea arabica (coffee). RNAcentral describes it as "long non-coding RNA (CARA_LNC006351)". Lineage: Eukaryota; Viridiplantae; Streptophyta; Magnoliopsida; Gentianales; Rubiaceae. The record is from RNAcentral.